Molecule: ribosomal RNA, 577 nt
Filed under: uncultured Bacillus sp.
Lineage: Bacteria; Bacillati; Bacillota; Bacilli; Caryophanales; Bacillaceae
Description: bacterial SSU rRNA
Rfam family: Bacterial small subunit ribosomal RNA
Source: RNAcentral
CGGCCGCGUCGACGAUAACUUCGGGAAACCGGAGCUAAUACCGGAUAAUAUAAGGAACCUCCUGGUUCUUUAUUGAAAGAUGGUUUCGGCUAUCACUUACAGAUGGGCCCGCGGCGCACUUAGCUAGUUGGUGAGGUAACGGCUCACCAAGGCGACGAUAGCGUAGCCGACCUGAGAGGGUGAUCGGCCACACUAGGGACUGAGACACGGUCCCAGACGUCCUACGGGGAGCAGCAAGUAGGGAAUCUUCCACGAAUGGACGAAAGUCUGAUGGAGCAACGCCGCGUGAAGCGAUGAAGGCCGUUGGGUCGUAAAGCUCUGUUGUUAGGGAAGAACAAGUGCGGAGAGUAACUGCUCGCACCUUGACGGUACCUAACCAGAAGCCACGGCUAACUACGUGCCAGCAGCCGCGGUAAUACGUAGGUGGCAAAGGCGUUAGUACCGGAACUUAGUUAGGGCGUAAAAGCGCGCGCAAGGUGGUCCUUUAAGUCUGAUGGUGAAAGCCCACGGUCUCGAACCGUGGAGGGUCAUUGGGAAACUGGGGGACUUGAGUGACAGGAAAGAGGGAAAGUUAGGG